Molecule: ribosomal RNA, 253 nt
Filed under: uncultured bacterium
Lineage: Bacteria
Description: partial 16S ribosomal RNA
Rfam family: Bacterial small subunit ribosomal RNA
Source: RNAcentral
UACGUAGGGUGCAAGCGUUGUCCGGAAUUAUUGGGCGUAAAGAGCUCGUAGGCGGUCUGUCGCGUCGGCUGUGAAAUCCCGAGGCUCAACCUCGGGUCUGCAGUCGAUACGGGCAAACUAGAGUAUUGCAGGGGAGACUGGAAUUCCUGGUGUAGCGGUGAAAUGCGCAGAUAUCAGGAGGAACACCGGUGGCGAAGACGGGUCUCUGGGCAAUAACUGACGCUGAGGAGCGAAAGCGUGGGGAGCGAACAGG